RNAcentral lists this ribosomal RNA (274 nucleotides) under uncultured bacterium. RNAcentral's name for it is "partial 16S ribosomal RNA". It matches the Rfam family "Bacterial small subunit ribosomal RNA", at positions 523 to 796 of the family's 1533-position model. The record is from RNAcentral.
AUACGUAGGCACCAAGCGUUGUUCGGAAUUACUGGGCGUAAAGCGAGUGUAGGCGGUUUGCUAAGUCGGUCGUGAAAUCUCCCGGCUCAACUGGGAGGGUGCGGUUGAAACUGGCAGGCUAGAGUGCGGAAGGGGAGAGUGGAAUUCCUGGUGUAGCGGUGAAAUGCGUAGAUAUCAGGAGGAACACCGGUGGUGAAGACGGCUCUCUGGACCGCAACUGACGCUGAGACUCGAAAGCGUGGGGAGCAAACAGGAUUAGAAACCCCAGUAGUCC